Xenia sp. Carnegie-2017 is the source of this 1151-nucleotide RNA transcript. RefSeq lists it as uncharacterized. The transcript has 3 exons. NCBI's taxonomy places the organism in Eukaryota, Metazoa, Cnidaria, Anthozoa, Malacalcyonacea, Xeniidae. The record is from RefSeq and is a predicted model, not a curated record.
CACCAUCAUUAAUGUAUAAUGCCUCAAAAGAAUAUUGGAGAAGAGUACUAAAAUGUAUAAAGAUAAAAGUAUCCUGUCUCCAUCGAAUUAACACAAACAGAUAGUUGGUAUUCACUUUGGUAAAUUAUUGGGAAGAAUUCAAAAUCUUAACGCCAUAUAACCAUAAAAAUUUCAAGAAGUCAUCGCUUGAUCAGCAAAACGAGACGAUGAACACAAGAGGCGUAAUAUUUAUCCUGUUCUUGGUCCUUCCUUGGGCAUCAUGUUGCCCAGAUGGUCAAUAUCUGAGCACUUUUCUUAACGAUUGUGUUGACUGUCCCGUCAACCCCUCAUCUAACUGUGCUGAAGUUGAUAAUACUGAUGUUUGUUUGACAAGUUGUAAGUCAGACAAAGAUGAAAAAGAUACUGUGGUCAUCUUUGAGGGGAAAAUUUCUAAGAAUAUCACGCAAGAAAAAAAUCAUGGCAAGGCCAUAACCCAAGAAAGCAACACACCAAUGGCGUUGAUAAUCUCUCUAACGUUGACGACGAUACUUUUGGCUGUUCUGAUAAUCUAUUUGAAAUAUCUCUGUAAGAGAAGAAAGAGUCAGUCAGUGACAACACUGGAAAGUUCUGUUCCUGUUGAACACAGAGAUAGUUCAUCGAGUUUGCAUUCACAUGAAGAAAGACAUGGUGAUCAAAGCGACGACUCACGAAGUCCUCACGAGAAUGUAGAUGCAAGUACUGCUUUCAUUGACGAGACUACCACAAGUUUUGUAGACAUUUCACUAAAUCCUGGCGAAAUUGAGCCAAAUCGUGACAGGAAUGUAUCAAGUCUGGAUGAUAACAUUUCAUACCAAAGUACACAUGUACCUCGAGAUCUAAAUAUCCGGAAAGAUCAAGAAAGAGAAACCUUUAUUAGGUAAAUGGAAGCUAACAUUUAUUUUCCUUUUAUUUAUUUACUGGGAUUGACAAUAUUGUAGAUUAUAAGAUAAAUGUUUAUUGUUAUCUUUUAUUGAUGACAAUUUUGAGGGUAUGUAAAUGAGAAUAUAUUAUAAUUACGUGAUAUAUAACACAUGAAAUGGUGAACCUGGUUUUAUGGUUUAUAUAAAUUUUUUAAUAAUAUGGAGAUAUUUUUUAGAUUAGACUGCUGUUAAAGGUUGCUAUAUGCAUUGAAA